AGCUUUGAGCAGUGGCAGUAUCGUAGCCAAUGAGAUUUAUCCGAGGCGCGAUUAUUGCUAAUUGAAACUUAAUUCUUG
Molecule: small nuclear RNA, 78 nt
Filed under: Dipodomys ordii (Ord's kangaroo rat)
Lineage: Eukaryota; Metazoa; Chordata; Mammalia; Rodentia; Heteromyidae
Description: U4 spliceosomal RNA
Rfam family: U4 spliceosomal RNA
About the family: U4 small nuclear RNA (U4 snRNA) is a component of the major U2-dependent spliceosome. The structure of U4 snRNA from yeast and human has been reported.
Source: Rfam by way of RNAcentral